RNAcentral lists this ribosomal RNA (452 nucleotides) under uncultured bacterium. RNAcentral describes it as "bacterial SSU rRNA". It matches the Rfam family "Bacterial small subunit ribosomal RNA", at positions 338 to 795 of the family's 1533-position model. The record is from RNAcentral.
CCUACGGGUGGCAGCAGUGAGGAAUUUUGCGCAAUGGGGGAAACCCUGACGCAGCGACGCCGCGUGGAGGAUGAAGGCCUUCGGGUUGUAAACUCCUGUCAGAGGUGAAGAAUGCCCGCAAGGGUUUGACGGUAACCUCAGAGGAAGCCCCGGCUAACUACGUGCCAGCAGCCGCGGUAAUACGUAGGGGGCGAGCGUUGCUCGGAAUUACUGGGCGUAAAGGGUGUGUAGGUGGCUGAUCAAGUCAAAGAUGAAAUCCCGAGGCUUAACUUCGGAAUUGUCUUUGAAACUGGUCGGCUUGAGGCUAGUUGAGGAGAGCGGAAUUCCCGGUGGAGCGGUGAAAUGCGUAGAUAUCGGGAGGAACACCUGAGGCGUAGGCGGUUCUCUAAACUUGUCCUGACACUGAGACACGAAAGCUAGGGGAGCAAACGGGAUUAGAUACCCCAGUANUC